This is a long non-coding RNA of Papaver somniferum (opium poppy), 1077 nucleotides long. RefSeq lists it as uncharacterized. Lineage: Eukaryota; Viridiplantae; Streptophyta; Magnoliopsida; Ranunculales; Papaveraceae. The transcript is spliced from 2 exons. The record is from RefSeq and is a predicted model, not a curated record.
AUCCUAAGUAACCUAUAAACCCAUUUCAUAAAGACAUAAAGACUAUUCCAUAAGAUUACCCUAAUCCUAAGUAACCUAUAAUCCCAUCAUUUAUCCAGUUCCCACUUGUACAAGUAUCUUAAAGCCUGUCUUAAUGAGCAAAAUUUCUUUUCUUGUAAGUUAGUCAUUUCCUAAACAUUAGAAUGAUCUUGAUCCCACCUAAUUUGCUAUAUCUCAGCGCAAUUCGCAACGAAGGAGGCUGAUGGAGGCUAAGAAUCUACGAAUUUUAAGUUUGAGCUCAUAAUCCUCACUCUGUCCUAUAGAAUGUAACUCCAAACAGUUUGUGAAUAUUAACAAAAUUCAACUCCAACUGCUGAAUGGAUUCUUUGCAGUUUAAACACAGAUCAUAUUUGAUAAUACAAACGUAAAAAGUCAAAGUUAUGUGGCGAGCCAAGAAAAUUUAAACAGAGAGUUGGAACAUUUAUACGUUAUCAUAACGUGUGCACGGAUAGACCAAACAAUUGAUAAAAGACUAUUCCAUAGUUGAAUUUGCUACUGCAAGUUGUUUUCAAAAUUAGUAUAUUGAAUCUGUGCAUUACCUAUAUACAGAGAGAGGUUAGUUAAUUAAAAGUACGUAAUCAUCAACCAUGGCCAAGAUCAGUAUGAUCCUCAUUUUCAUCUUAUUUGUCUUGAUUGCGAUGCCAACCUGCUCUUCUUCGACCGAAGUGAUACUCAAGGGGGAUUAUAAAGUAGUAGAUGUCUGCCCGGAUAUGGAAGACCUUGCUUGCAUUCAGUUCCAAGAAUGCACAGAACAACAGGUUGUGCUUGAAUGCCCAAGUGGUUCUUACCAGAUGUUUCAUCCGUCCUGCGGUGGUUGCCCAAGAUGCUGUACUGUUUAAAUUACCUAUCGGACACUGAUAGUACUGAUUCAUACGCUUAUACGUCUAUGUUAUGUAUACCCUUGUAAUUCUUGUGUGUGGAUGGUAUUUUGUGUACAUUUGUCCUCUUAAUCAUGCAGCUGCUUAUUGUAUCAAAUAUUUAUGUAUCAAUGUUUGUCAUCUUUUUCAUAAAUUUAAUAAAAAUCAUGUUGAAUAAUAA